RNAcentral lists this non-coding RNA (31 nucleotides) under Mus musculus (house mouse). The record is from RNAcentral. Lineage: Eukaryota; Metazoa; Chordata; Mammalia; Rodentia; Muridae.
UGCUCAGCAUUCAGGGGGGUAGGCUGGGACC